This 307-nucleotide ribosomal RNA is filed under the name Paratettix cucullatus. Its description in RNAcentral is "partial 12S ribosomal RNA". The record is from RNAcentral. Lineage: Eukaryota; Metazoa; Arthropoda; Insecta; Orthoptera; Tetrigidae.
UUUUUGAAACCUAAAGAAUUUGGCGGCAUUAUAUCUUUUUAGAGGAACCUGUUCUUUAAAUGAUGUUACACGAUUGGCUUUACUAAAAAUAUUUGUUUGUAUAUUUCCGUUAUAAGAAUAUUUAAUGAUAAUAUUUUCUUGUUUUUUUAUAAAAAUAUAUUUCAGGUCAAGGUGCAGCUUAUUUUUUAGUAAGAAAUGGGUUACAAUAAUUGAAUUUAUAUGGAUAUUUUUAUUAAAUUUUGAAUUGAAGGUGGAUUUAUUAGUAAGUUUUAAUAAUUAUUAUUUCUGAAUUAGUUCUAUUUUGUGU